GCCUUAGCGAGGCCAUGGGGGAAAAAGUCUAACUGGCGGAACUCCUGGGAACUGGGGCGAUGGGCUCUUAGUAUCGGAGGAUUGGAGCCAUCUGAUUUUUACCUGAAAUUCCUUAGUCUCUCCUGUGUUGGGGAAAUGGUCACCUUGCCUUCAGGGACCUGGGCUUUCAGCUGUCCAUACCUGGCCCUGGUUGAUGGCGGCAUGCUGGGCAGUGCACGUGAAGACGCACAUGAGACCGGGACUUGCUGUGUUGCCCAGGCUGGUCUUGAACUCCUGGUCUUAAGCAAUCAUACUGCUUUGGCCACCCAAAGCACUGGGAUUACAGGCGUGAACCACCACACCCAGCUCUUAAAACCACAGUAUUUCUAGCACCCUGGGAUCCCUACAUUUCACCUGCCCUGGGCCCAUACAUCCUCUAAGUCUGCUCCGACCGUCCUUAACUCUGCCCUCCUAGCCCCGCAGCAGUUCCCGAGACCUUGUGCCUCCUUCCCCGACGCCGCCUGCUCACCGGUGCCCUCGGGCAGGCUCAGGAUGUCCUCGCCCUGCACCCAGCGGUAGCACGGGAAGGCCACCUCCGCGCAGGCUCCAGGGCCCUGCACCGUGAUGCGGUCGCAGAACCACGCGUCGUCCACCAGCCAG
Molecule: long non-coding RNA, 639 nt
Filed under: Homo sapiens (human)
Lineage: Eukaryota; Metazoa; Chordata; Mammalia; Primates; Hominidae
Description: HSALNT0388281
Source: RNAcentral